This 72-nucleotide transfer RNA is filed under the name bacterium. Its description in RNAcentral is "tRNA-Arg". It matches the Rfam family "tRNA". Rfam says of the family: Transfer RNA (tRNA) molecules are approximately 80 nucleotides in length. Their secondary structure includes four short double-helical elements and three loops (D, anti-codon, and T loops). The record is from RNAcentral. RNAcentral also lists the same sequence under 1 other name.
GCUCUCGUCGUUCAAUGGAUAGGACACUCCCCUGCGAAGGGAGAAAUGCAGGUUCGAUUCCUGCCGGGAGCA